AUUGAACGCUGGCGGCAUGCCUUACACAUGCAAGUCGAACGGUAACAGGUUAAGCUGACGAGUGGCGAACGGGUGAGUAAUGUAUCGGAACGUGCCCAGUCGUGGGGGAUAACUGCUCGAAAGAGCAGCUAAUACCGCAUACGACCUGAGGGUGAAAGCGGGGGAUCGCAAGACCUCGCGCGAUUGGAGCGGCCGAUACCAGAUUAGGUAGUUGGUGAGGUAAAGGCUCACCAAGCCGACGAUCUGUAGCUGGUCUGAGAGGACGACCAGCCACACUGGGACUGAGACACGGCCCAGACUCCUACGGGAGGCAGCAGUGGGGAAUUUUGGACAAAGGGCGCAAGCCUGAUCCAGCCAUGCCGCGUGCGGGAAGAAGGCCUUCGGGUUGUAAACCGCUUUUGUCAGGGAAGAAAAGGUUCUGGCUAAUACCUGGGACUCAUGACGGUACCUGAAGAAUAAGCACCGGCUAACUACGUG
Molecule: ribosomal RNA, 477 nt
Filed under: uncultured bacterium
Lineage: Bacteria
Description: partial 16S ribosomal RNA
Rfam family: Bacterial small subunit ribosomal RNA
Source: RNAcentral